This is a non-coding RNA of Cinara cedri, 454 nucleotides long. The record is from the annotation of a GenBank genome assembly. Lineage: Eukaryota; Metazoa; Arthropoda; Insecta; Hemiptera; Aphididae.
CGAAUAUAUCUACUAAAAACAAGUUUUAUUUUUCUUCUGUUGGUCUACAUUUGUAUGUAGAUAAACUAUUAACUGAAGGAAUUCAAAAAGCUAUAUAGAGUAUCUAAUAAACAAGUAAAUAUUGGUGAGUAUGCACUACCGUUUACUAUACAUUUAGGAUGGCAUAGUAUUUUAAUCCCUUUGCAUGAUAAAAAGUUGUAGCUGCCUAUCAAGAAUGUUUAAUGUGAUGGUUUCCCAUUGCUUUCUCAUCGACCAUCCAUCUGUACUACUCCACAACACAUUUAUUGGGAAAAUUACGAAAAAUGCUGGAGCUAGAAGCUAUAAAGCACAAAUAAAUGGUGAUAGAUCGCGAAUAUUGGGGAAGGGAAUAUAAUAUAACCUAGAGAAGAAGAAAUAUAAUAAUAUUAAUAUUUUAUUAUACAUAUUAUGUAUGAUCUGUGGUGAUACAAACUCC